Molecule: long non-coding RNA, 4017 nt
Organism: Aegilops tauschii subsp. strangulata
Lineage: Eukaryota; Viridiplantae; Streptophyta; Magnoliopsida; Poales; Poaceae
Source: RefSeq, a predicted model, not a curated record
CGUCAUACAUUUUGGAACAGAGGUGGUAACUUUUAUAAAAUCUCUGCUUCAACAAAUGAUGUAGAUGUAUAAAUUUUUACAUCACCUGCUUCAAGUGAUGUAAAAUACAACACUAUCACCAACCAUUGAAGAUGUAAACUCAGAUGUAAAACGGACAACCACGCGCUAACCGUCAACCGCCAUUUUUUUAUCCCAAACCCACCGCGUGACCACCCCCCACCUCCCGCCGCACAACCGUCGCACCGCCCGCUGCACAGCCACAACCGCCAGAUUCGGCCUCCCACCCAUCCCUCCCCGCCGGUUCUGCCCCAUUUCGGCCGCCCCGCUUUUUUGCCGCGCCGCCGCCCGGUUCGAGCUCCGCCGCCCCGGCCUGCCUCAGUCGAAGCUCGUUCGCCGCCCAAUUCGAGCUCUGUCGGGCCGCCCUGCCGCAUUUGAAGCUCGGCCACCGACGCGUUUCGAGCUCCGUUGCCGCUCCGACCGGCUCCUCGUCUCGAUUCGACGCUCGGCCGCCGACGCCCGUCUCAACUCAAUGCUCGGCCGCCGACGGCCGUCUCAGGUGAUGUAAAUGACUUUUAUUGGAGAUGCUUUAAGCUCAGUAGCGACGGCUUGUACAGUCAAGGCCUCAUGGCAUAUGACGCGUGUCGUCCGUUCCUUUGCACACCGAGCUUCCUCCUAUAUAGGAGCUGAAACGCAUUGACAAAAUUCUACGCGGCUCUCCCCGCCCCGGAAAUGAAGAUCCGACUGCAAAAGUAGGCCUGUGGAACCUUAACGAAGAAUGCUGAUUGGGGGAAACAAGGAGAUACUUUAUGCUUAAAUCUGAGGAGCAGGUAAUAUUUGAUGCUUAAGAUUGACAAUUAAGGAGAUGUUUAAGCAAAAUUUUGGAGAUGGGCCGCUGUUGAGGGGAAGCGGUGCCACUGUAUUCCUGUACCGCGUAUGCUGUAUUUUUGGGCCGUAUCUAUGUACGCACAUGUUGUGUCGGGGGAUGGUCGUCGGUGGUGAGGGGGGUCGCCGGAUCCACGCAUGUGGAUCGUUUUACUCACUCGUAGUCUAGGUUUUUAGGUUGUUCAUCGUCUUUGCUUCGGCGGCGACGAUGACAUCGCUGAAUAAGAUUCUUCGGAUCCUUCCCUGACGAGGCCAUCGGUUCUAUGGUUGGGGAUGAAUUUAGAAACCAGUCUGUUCAAGCAAGAAUGGCGUGGCGGCGGCGGCAUCCUUGUGGUGGACCUGUGUCCUCGGGCUUCGCCGUUGCGACGAUGUUUGCUCCCGCGUCGGCACGGAGCUUGGGAGGUAGUCCAGGAGCGGAUGCAGAUUGUGGUCUGCAUCGACGACAUCUGGAAGAUGGAGCAUGUGCUGGGCUCGUGGUUCGUAGAUGUCAGGUAUGGUUUCCUCCUUCGGCAUUUUAGUCAUGGUGGGGUGCCAGAUCUGGAGUUUGAUGGCGUGUCCAGAGUGUUGCCCCGGUCUGAUUCGUUCAACAGCAUGGGCUUCACUUUUGGUGAGCCACCUUGGAGGUCCGCAAAGCUGCAUAUCAGCGAUGGAGCCGCGUCGAGCUCGGGUGAGGAGGUGAUUCGUCAUUCUUUUCUUCGGUGGCUGCUGUGGUGGUGCCGGAGGCAGGUGACGGGCGUUGGUGUCAAGCUCAAAGAUGUUCUGCUAUCUUUUCAGUUUUGUCAUGUCGGUCUUUACGCGAUUUGUACUUUGUUCUUUAUAAUAUGAAUGUGACACGUAUUACCAUGCAAAAAAAGAUGGGCCACCCUUGGUUUUCGAAGAUGAAGUCGUAGAACUACCAAACUUAAGUAGUCCACGUGGUGGCCACGACGGGCGGCCAGGCGUGGCCGCGCAAGUUGGCCGAGGCCGCGGAUCUGGCGGGUCCAGCGCAUUUGUGAGGUGCGGCCGCUGCUGCACCAUGAGGUGGAGCCGGUGGACGUCAACCAGGGGAUUGUGUGCUGUGCACUGCUUCAGAUCUGCUCGGAUUCAGAGGUGUGGAAGAGCUCCGGGCAAAAGUCCAGCACUGAUUUUGGGUCGGUGCCGGCAACAACGGCGCCAUGGCCAUGGUGUCAUUCCCCUUCUUGAAGGUGUUGUCGUGGAGCUCCAUUACACGACUCUCCGGAAGACAUCUCUAGCUUCGGAUGGUCGAAGCGGGCGAUGACGGCGACUACGUCGUUUCCUUCUUUGAGGCAUCGCCUUGGAGAGUCAGCAUAUUGCGGUUUGCACGGAUCUCUUCGUCGGCGUGGACUACAGUGGACGUCGGGGCGGCGGCUCCGGGUGGUUUCUGAUUGUGCGCCGAGAUGGCAAUCUCGGGAACAAUGUGAGUGGCAGGUCUAUGAGGUGGGCUCUAUCUCGACAUUGGUUGGGUGGCAUCCUUGUCGCUUGGGCGGUGGGGGUGUCGGCUCGGUCGAUGCGCCCUAGAGGGGGCGGUAUGACCUUAUGUCGGGGCGGUGGCCCCGGAAGUGGUGCGACGUUCGUGGUCUGCGAGCGGUUGUCUUGUGCAGCGUGGGCUGUGCGGCAUUGCUGCUCAAGGGGAGCGGUGGUAUGUCGGGAUGGCGGCCUGGAAGGCGGUGCCGAUGAAGUGUGCUGGGCGCGACGAGCGGUGGAUGUCAGGGCGGCGGCCCCGAGAGGAUCACUGUGGCGGCUAGGCUUCUGUGGCAACGGUAAUGGUGGGAGCGAUAUCAGCGACACGGCAAUGGUUGCAAUAGCCGGCUCUUCUCCGGCGUAUCCACGGUAUUGCCUAAAAUCCUGUGAUUAUUCCUGGAUGAAUAAUUAGAACUUCCAUUGCUAUAUGGCUCACCGGUAGUUCUGGAACAAGCCCGCUUGUCAUCUGCUUUGCGUGAUAUUUGGCCGGCUCAUAUAGCAAUGGAAGUUCUAACUAACUGAUUCUUACCCCAAAAAAAUAACUGAUUCUUAAAAAGAAAAUUCCUAAUUAGCUUCCCCGAUCAGUCCUAAAAUCCUGUGAUUGUUCUUGGGUGAAUAGCUCAUGUGCGACACAUUUGACGUGAAUUGGAAAGCACGCGAUGUCGUUCAUGAAAAUAGCUCACGUGCGAUGCUUUAGAUGGCAACAAUAGCUCCUAAGCGACCAGGCCCUCUUUAACCCUAAACCGCAAGAGACAAGGGGUUAGCUCGGGUGUGUUGGCCCACCACUUUUCCACCUCAGCGUGGGAGCCACAACUAAUCCACAUGCGUGCGGGUCCCACAACUUAUCCACAUCAGUGUAACCCAUUACAAGGGCACCCGAUCCAGCCCCCGGCCCGUUCCCAUGCCAUUGCAUUGCCUGACCCUCUUCCCUUUCCUUCCCCCACCCUGUUCUUCUUCUUCUCCGGCGAUGAAGCAUAGCAAUGCCGGCCGGCGAGAGAUGUCUAGCUCCAGUUCGGCCUCCCGCCCAUCAUGGCCGCAGUAUGGUCUAGUGCCGUUGACAAGAUGCCCCGACUGCCCACGCAAGGAGCCUCUGAAGCGACUGACCUGUGUGAAGGAAGACCAUGGCAACCGUGGGCGCGAGUUCAUCAAGUGCGAGAGCAGGCCAUAGCCGGUGCAGGUCCUGAAGAAAUGCGGGCAUUUCGAGUGGCUCGAUGCGUACAUUGAGAGGCUACAAUUGGAUGGAUUAAUUGGCGGAAACUAGGAGCUCAAUUCGGGGCCGCUUGCUGUGGAGCCAGUGGAGAAUUUGGCGGACAGAGCCGUUCCGAUGAUGGGCAAUGCUGAACUGAAGGGAGAAUUGAAGAAAAUAAGUAAGCAACUGAAGCAGUAAGAAAAUCUGAUGGCUGGAGGAUUUUAUUGCUGUAUCAUUGCUAUGGAUUUCUUUUACUUGAUGUACAUCAAUCGCUAGAAAUUGUUUGAGUUUCAGUUAAUGUGUUGUUUGAGUUUCAGUUAAUGUGUUUAGCUAGUAGUAAUUUUUUCAGUUACAGUUUGGGCAUCAUGCCUGGAUCAUUUGCAUCCCCUGAUGAAUAAAAUGUAGCAAAUCGCUCAAGUAUGUCUUCUUUGUUGCAAACUUGCAAUUCUUCAAUUAAUAGAGAGUGCCCAACUUGCAGUUCUUCA